RNAcentral lists this ribosomal RNA (459 nucleotides) under uncultured bacterium. RNAcentral describes it as "partial 16S ribosomal RNA". It matches the Rfam family "Bacterial small subunit ribosomal RNA", at positions 338 to 795 of the family's 1533-position model. The record is from RNAcentral.
CCUACGGGUGGCUGCAGUGAGGAAUAUUGGUCAAUGGCCGGAAGGCUGAACCAGCCAAGCCGCGUGAAGGACGAAGGUGCCAAGCAUUGUAAACCUCUUUUGUCAGGGAACAAAGGCGGGGACGUGUCCCCGGAUGAGUGUACCUGAAGAACAAGCAUCGGCUAACUCCGUGCCAGCAGCCGCGGUAAUACGGAGGAUGCGAGCGUUAUCCGGAUUUAUUGGGUUUAAGGGGUGCGCGGGCGGUCUGUUAAGUCAGCGGUCAAAGCCCGGGGCUCAACCCCGGCCCGCCGUUGAAACUGGCAGUCUCGAGUUGGAGAGAAGUAUGCGGAAUGCGCGGUGUAGCGGUGAAAUGCAUAGAUAUCGCGCAGAACUCCGAUUGCGAAGGCAGCAUGCCGGCUCCAAACUGACGCUGAGGCACGAAAGCGUGGGUAUCGAACAGGAUUAGAUACCCUUGUAGUC